Molecule: non-coding RNA, 102 nt
Organism: Aedes aegypti (yellow fever mosquito)
Lineage: Eukaryota; Metazoa; Arthropoda; Insecta; Diptera; Culicidae
Source: Rfam
UUGCUUCGGUGAGGCAUAUGUACCAAAAUUGAAACGCUACAGAGAAAACUAGUAUGGCCCUGCACAAGAAUGAUAUCUUGAACACAUUUUUACACUACUUGU